UACGUAGGGAGCAAGCGUUGUCCGGAAUCAUUGGGCGUAAAGCGCGCGUAGGCGGCCCGAUAAGUCCGCUGUGAAAGUCAACGGCUCAACUGUUGGAUGCCGGUGGAUACUGUCGGGCUAGAGUACGGAAGAGGCAAGUGGAAUUCCUGGUGUAGCGGUGGAAUGCGCAGAUAUCAGGAGGAACACCGAUGGCGAAGGCAGGUCUCUGGGCCACUACUGACGCUGAGAAGCGAAAGCGUGGGGAGCGAACAGG
RNAcentral lists this ribosomal RNA (253 nucleotides) under uncultured bacterium. RNAcentral describes it as "partial 16S ribosomal RNA". It matches the Rfam family "Bacterial small subunit ribosomal RNA", at positions 524 to 776 of the family's 1533-position model. The record is from RNAcentral.